RNAcentral lists this ribosomal RNA (253 nucleotides) under uncultured bacterium. Its description in RNAcentral is "partial 16S ribosomal RNA". It matches the Rfam family "Bacterial small subunit ribosomal RNA", at positions 524 to 776 of the family's 1533-position model. The record is from RNAcentral.
UACAGGGGGUGCAAACGUUGCUCGAAAUUAUUGGGCGUAAAGCGCGCGUAGGCGGCUACUUAAGUCGGAUGUGAAAGCCCCUGGCUCAACUGGGGAAGUGCACCCGAAACUGAGUAGCUUGAGUGCAAAAGAGGGCCGCGGAAUUCCCGGUGUAGAGGUGAAAUUCGUAGAUAUCGGGAGGAACACCGGUGGCGAAGGCGGCGGCCUGGGUUGACACUGACGCUGAGGCGCGAAAGCGUGGGGAGCAAGCAGG